GACGAACGCUGGCGGCGUGCUUAACACAUGCAAGUCGAGCGGAAAGGCCCCUUCGGGGGUACUCGAGCGGCGAACGGGUGAGUAACACGUGGGUAAUCAACCCCUGACAUCGGGAUACCCCGGGGAAACCCGGAUCAAUACCGGACAAGGUGCGGAGGCGCAGGCCGCCGUACCAAAGGUAGCUUCGGCGUCCGGUCAGGGACGAGCCCGCGGCCCAUUAGCUUGUUGGUGGGGUAAUGGCCCACCAAGGCGACGAUGGGUAGCUGGUCUGAGAGGACGAUCAGCCACACUGGGACUGGGACACGGCCCAGACUCCUACGGGAGGCAGCAGUGGGGAAUCUUGCGCAAUGGGCGGAAGCCUGACGCAGCAACGCCGCGUGCGGGAGGAAGGCCUUAGGGUCGUAAACCGCUUUCAGGGGGGACGAAGCUUCCGGGGUGAAUAGCCUACGGGGUGACGGUACUCCCAGAAGAAGGUCCGGCUAACUACGUGCCAGCAGCCGCGGUAA
Molecule: ribosomal RNA, 506 nt
Filed under: uncultured bacterium
Lineage: Bacteria
Description: partial 16S ribosomal RNA
Rfam family: Bacterial small subunit ribosomal RNA
Source: RNAcentral